AAAAUAUGUAUUUUAUGAGUAUAUAAUAAUUAUUAUUUUUAUUUUAAUAUGAUAAAAAAAAAUGGACUCACUCUAUUUGCAAAUAAAAAACUAGUAAAGGUCAAAAACUCUAACCUGCCCAUCACCAAUACUGCGGCUGCCCAUUACCAGUACUGGGGCUGCCCGUCUCAGAUUUAUUAUUAUUUUUUUUUAAAAGCCCAUCUCAGAUUUUUUUUUAUAUAUAAAGAUUUUUUGGUUUGACCAAUGGGGAUUGGGAUGGGCUCAAGGCUCAGGUGAAGAACAUGGGCUCCAAUUCCAAAUACACUCUCUCAAUCUUUUUCUAAAUUUGGCAUAUACUGACAUUGUUUCUUCUUUCCAUUGGUUGAGUCAUUUGCAGCCAGCUCCAAAUGGGCAUUACAGCAAACAGCCUGCACAUGGAGGUUUGGUGGGGGGGAAUUCUCAUGGGUAUCUUAAGUUAAAAGACUCAGACUAUUGCCAAGAGAGGAUUACACAAAUAUUCCCAAUAUCUUAAUUAAUUAUAUUUAUAAAUAUUUUACUCCCAUUUAAUAUUUUUGUAGCCUCAGGUGAUUAAAAAUUAUAUUUAUAAGAAAAUAAUCAAAAGACCAAUUCAAAUACACAAAAUACAUUUUUGUUUUGACCUUCCAGAAUAACAAAGGAAUUUCAGCCCAUAUUGUAAGGUUAGGUGUUGAUUAAUUGGCCAAUAAAAUUUCCAAAGGAAUGAGGUGGAGAGAUGUGACAAUUCAAGUUUCCUAUUGUACCCAUGAACAAUUAACCAAUUCACAUAAUCUUGAAAGAGAAAAAGAGAGAGAAUAAGGAAAGAAAAGAAACUUACAGCUUCAAUAUCAAUUUUGUAGACCAGAAGCUUUCUUCUUUCUCUGCAACUUGUUCUAUAUGCCACAAUAAUAUGACCAAUUGCUAAGAGCCAUGAGCAAACAAACAAGGCAAUUUCCAUGGCUUUUGCAUACUCUCCUCUAUCAAUACUUGAAACACUAAACACAUAUGGUGCUUUUAAUGACACAUAAAUUAGAGAUAACACAGAACAUAUAGUGGUAAUCCCCAAGUAUGGCCCUCUUGAAAGCCUGGGUCCAUCACACAAGCUAUAAACACAGAUGAUGACUGCUGAUCUUAUGAUGGAUAUGAGGGGAAUAUCAAUGAGAGAGUAUCUAAAAUCAUAGUUAUUGAAAUGGGAAGAGAGGGUUUUGAAUGAUAAAGAAGAAGGGGAAAGAGAAGCAGAGAGAAGAGAAAAGGGAAGAAGGGUGUCAGCAAUAACAAGAAGAACAGGAACAGAGAAAAAAAGGAAAGAGAUCAACAUAGUAAUCAAGAAGAAGAGAGUCUUUAUAACUCUCAAUACUCUUAUUGAUUUCUCUUCCAUAGAAAAACCCAUCUUGAUUCUUGGGGCUCUUGAAUCCUAUGUACAAGAAUAAUAAUAAGAAGAAGAAGAA
RNAcentral lists this unclassified non-coding RNA (1442 nucleotides) under Hevea brasiliensis (rubber tree). Lineage: Eukaryota; Viridiplantae; Streptophyta; Magnoliopsida; Malpighiales; Euphorbiaceae. The record is from RNAcentral.